Molecule: ribosomal RNA, 450 nt
Filed under: uncultured bacterium
Lineage: Bacteria
Description: bacterial SSU rRNA
Rfam family: Bacterial small subunit ribosomal RNA
Source: RNAcentral
GUGGGGAAUUUUGGACAAUGGGGGCAACCCUGAUCCAGCCAUGCCGCGUGCAGGAUGAAGGCCUUCGGGUUGUAAACUGCUUUUGUUAGGAACGAAACGGUGGAUGUUAAUACCAUCUACUAAUGACGGUACCUAAAGAAUAAGCACCGGCUAACUACGUGCCAGCAGCCGCGGUAAUACGUAGGGUGCAAGCGUUAAUCGGAAUUACUGGGCGUAAAGCGUGCGCAGGCGGCUUGAUAAGACAGGUGUGAAAUCCCCGAGCUCAACUUGGGAAUAGCACUUGUGACUGUCAGGCUAGAGUAUGUCAGAGGGAGGUGGAAUUCCAAGUGUAGCAGUGAAAUGCGUAGAUAUUUGGAAGAACACCGAUGGCGAAGGCAGCCUCCUGGGAUAAUACUGACGCUCAUGCACGAAAGCGUGGGGAGCAAACAGGAUUAGAAACCCCAGUAGUCC